Molecule: ribosomal RNA, 497 nt
Filed under: uncultured bacterium
Lineage: Bacteria
Description: partial 16S ribosomal RNA
Rfam family: Bacterial small subunit ribosomal RNA
Source: RNAcentral
GAUGAACGCUGGCGGCGUGCCUAAUACAUGCAAGUCGAGCGAACAGACCAGGAGCUUGCUCCUCUGACGUUAUCGGCGGACGGGUGAGUAACACGUGGAUAACCUACCUAUAAGACUGGGAUAACUUCGGGAAACCGGAGCUAAUACCGGAUAAUAUAUUGAACCGCAUGGUUCAAUAGUGAAAUUAGGUUUUUCUGUCACUUAUAGAUGGAUACGCGUCGAAUUCGUUAGUUGGUACGGUAGCUGCUUAGCCAGGCUACGAUGCUUAGCCGACCCGAGAGCGUGAUCGGCCACACUGUCAGUGAGACACGUUCCAGACUCCGACGCUGGGCCGCAGUAGGGAAUCUUACGCAAUGGACGAAUGCCUGACGGAGCAACGUCGCGUGAGGGAUGAAGGUCUUCGGAUCGUAGAACGCUGUUAUUCGGAAAGUAGAAAUGUUUAAGUAACUAUGCUCGUCUUGACGGUACCUAAUCAGAAAGCCACGGCUAACUCCGUG